AUGAACGCUGGCGGCGUGUCUAAGGCAUGCAAGUCGAGGGACCGGCUUACCUUCGGGUGAGCGCGGACCGGCAAACGGGAGAGUAACACAUUGGUAAUCUACCUUUAUCUUGGGCAUAACCCGGAGAAAUCUGGGACAAUUCCCAAUAGUCAUGGGGGGACAUAAGUCAUUCCCAUGUAAAGUUCCGACGGAUAAAGAGGAGCCUAUGGCCCAUCAGCUAGUUGGUAGGGUAAUGGCCUACCAAGGCUACGACGGGUAGCAGGUGUGAGAGCAUGACCUGCCCCACUGGGACUGAGACACUGCCCAGACUCCUACGGGAGGCUGCAGUCAAGAAUCUUCCUCAAUGGACGAAAGUCUGAAGGAGCAAUGCCGCGUGAUCGAUGAAGCCCCUCUGGGUGUAAAGAUCUUUUAUCAGGGACGAAUUAUUGACGGUACCUGAUGAAUAAGUCACUGCUAACUUCGU
This 463-nucleotide ribosomal RNA is filed under the name uncultured bacterium. RNAcentral's name for it is "bacterial SSU rRNA". It matches the Rfam family "Bacterial small subunit ribosomal RNA", at positions 29 to 506 of the family's 1533-position model. The record is from RNAcentral.